AGAAAGAGGAUAGUGUUUAUUAGAUACAGAACCAAUACACCAUCUGUUUAUCAGGUGGUGUAAAAAAGGGAUUCAUAGUAACCGAACGGAUCGCAUUAUGGUCAUUUUAUAUGGCUGGCGAUAGAUCAUUCAAGUUUCUGACCUAUCAGCUUUCGACGGUAGUGUAUUGGACUACCGUGGCAGUGACGGGUAACGGGGAAUUAGGGUUCGAUUCCGGAGAGGGAGCCUGAGAAACGGCUACCACAUCUAAGGAAGGCAGCAGGCGCGCAAAUUACCCAAUCCUGACUCAGGGAGGUAGUGACAAGAAAUAACAACACUGGAAAUUUUAUUUCUAGUGAUUGGAAUGAUGGGAAUUUAAACCCCUUUCAGAGUAACAAUUGGAGGGCAAGUCUGGUGCCAGCAGCCGCGGUAAUUCCAGCUCCAAUAGCGUAUAUUAAAGUUGUUGCAGUUAAAAAGCUCGUAGUUGGAUGUCUGCUGGAAGCAAUCAGUCCGCCCUAUUUGUAGGGUGUGCACUUGAUGAAUUCUGGCAUCUAUGUCCCAAUAAUGUGGUGGUGUAUACCCUGUGUAUUACCCAUCUAUAUUGGGAUAAUACCGUUACUUUGAGAAAAUUAGAGUGUUUGAAGCAGGCUAAUUGCCUUGAAUACUGCAGCAUGGAAUAACAAUAUAGGAUUUCGGUUCUAUUUUGUUGGUUUCUAGGACUGAAAUAAUGAUUAAUAGGGACAGUUGGGGGCAUUCGUAUUUAACUGUCAG
This 750-nucleotide ribosomal RNA is filed under the name Sarcocystis cf. cruzi. RNAcentral's name for it is "SSU rRNA". It matches the Rfam family "Eukaryotic small subunit ribosomal RNA", at positions 191 to 908 of the family's 1831-position model. The record is from RNAcentral. Lineage: Eukaryota; Apicomplexa; Conoidasida; Eucoccidiorida; Sarcocystidae.